GCAGCCACACAGACACACGGUCUCUGUCCUCCUGCCUGUCGGGCCGCUGAUGCCUGAGAGGUGUGUCUCCUCCACUCCACAGGAGCUGACUGUCAGCAGCUGCAUUCCGCUUCUGGAAUGAACCCCCUGCUCCAGCCUCCAUCGCUGCACUGUGUUUGUAUCCCUCGGAGAUUUUUACGUCAUAUUUGAGUCCAAAGUGUCUUUUCCAGUUUUCUCCUUCCGUGUUUCAUACACCGUCCUCUGGGUGCAGAGCCAAAGGGCCCUCACUGCGUUGGAUGCUGUGCGCGCAUGGUGCUGAGGGCAGGUGUUGGCCCAGUCUGCUGCAUUAGUGAGAAUCUUCUCCAGAAUCUUUCACAGACACACCUAGAGAUAAUGUACUAGCUCUCUGGGCACCCCUUCAUCCAGAGCUAAGUGGCAGGAGAGCUGAAGGGAGAGUCAGAAAGUGACCCCGGUGCCAGCUUUAUUCCUCACGUGCAUGCAGCAGCAAGGUCUCCCCAGCAAUGGGCCUGGACAUAGGAGGACCUCCUCCCUUGUAGGCCUGCUGAUGGCUUGGGCCUGGGAGUGGAGAAGCAUGCAUGAUCCUCUGUCCACCCCACUUCCAAGGGAAGGUGAAGAAGGGCCAAGGCAAUGGAAAGCCUGCUGGACAAGGUCUUGGACUGAGAGGUAUAUCAUGUCUUAGGAAUGGAGUCUGGAAGGGGAAAAUCAUGACUUCCAUGGAGAAACUGGCUGAAACCACUUGACCAAGUAAUGAGGAUUGACAUGACUGUUGGUGUUGUGUGGAGGUCACUCACCUAUGGUGUGUGCUGAUGAGGUGGUCAUUUCACCCUGUCCUUCCCCCAAAUCCAUCACCUCUGUCUAACGAGGAAACAUCAGGAAGCCCAUACAGGAUGCUCUACAGGAUCCUUGACCUAUUCCCCCAGACUGUCUGGUCACAAACCACGAGGAGGCAACAGGACGCUGGAGAGACAUAGCAGCUGCAUAUGCUGACAUAUGAACUUCCUUUGAAGCAAGUUCACCGAAUCCUGACGUGUUACUGCUAAUUACCCAAGAGGAUGGAAAUGCACUCUCUUUACCUGGGGUCUGGUGGGUCCUUAGCCAAGGGGGCAUUACUGCAGAUUCUUUUGGCCAGGCUGAAGUUUAAGAUAAAAGCUGAUAGCAAUAAUCUCAUUGUACAGGCAGCUAACACACAAUGAGGUUGGUAAGAGCAGAUGUAUGGAUUCAAUAAAA
Canis lupus familiaris (dog) is the source of this 1227-nucleotide long non-coding RNA. RefSeq lists it as uncharacterized. The transcript has 5 exons. The record is from RefSeq and is a predicted model, not a curated record. Lineage: Eukaryota; Metazoa; Chordata; Mammalia; Carnivora; Canidae.